UCGGCAAGUAAAGACUGUGCUUGUCAUUGCAGAUAGAUCUUAUCACUAGUGUGAAUAUUUUUGUGCUUUUAAUGAGCACACCAACAUGUCUGUCCAAUAUACAGUAAAUAAUAUUAUGCUCACCAGUACCAGUUAGUGCAUUUUGUGCAAGCAUGUAUAAUUUAAAAAAAUAAGUCAAACUCUCUCUCUUGGUCAUUCAGGAACUUCAAGUACUUUUAAGUACCUUGAAAAUGUGUUUGAGGCGGUUGUGGUGGCAGCCCGGCUGACGGUUCACUCACCCUUGUCCUCUGUCAAGUCAGCUGGGCUCGCUCACCUGCGCUCUCCCCUCGGGCCUCCCCCACAGCGUCCUCCCGGCUGUCCCUCGUGCCUCCCCAGUCAGCCUGCCACCACACUCCUCCACCAACCCCCUGAUCAGUUCUCCCGUGCCUCCUCUCUUCCUCGGCCCCCAGUGUCCCCCAGCUCUCUGGUCUCCGUGUCCUCAGUUCCCCGUGCCUGCGUUUCCCCGGCAUCCACCUCUCCCUUAACUCCAGUCCCUCAACCCCUUCUUUCCCCUAAUAAAACCUGUUAAUCUUAA
This is a long non-coding RNA of Micropterus dolomieu (smallmouth bass), 574 nucleotides long. RefSeq lists it as uncharacterized. The record is from RefSeq and is a predicted model, not a curated record. The transcript has 2 exons. NCBI's taxonomy places the organism in Eukaryota, Metazoa, Chordata, Actinopteri, Centrarchiformes, Centrarchidae.